Molecule: non-coding RNA, 734 nt
Organism: Cucurbita pepo subsp. pepo (vegetable marrow)
Lineage: Eukaryota; Viridiplantae; Streptophyta; Magnoliopsida; Cucurbitales; Cucurbitaceae
Source: RefSeq, a predicted model, not a curated record
UUUCGCGCAUACGUUAACUGAAAUACGCGCGGGCGGAAAGACAUUUCUAUUCUAGUCGCCCCUGCCUCAUCCCUUCCCCGAAGGGCUGCUCAUCGAUGAAGAAGCCAUGGAAGAUCAGGGGAGCUUGCCCAAAAUCCGGGCGCCUUUCACUUUCCCCUUAUACAGCACCGCAGAGCUGAUGCCCAUUGUCCCCGUGGAGGAGGAUGUUAGUUUUUUGCAAAGAAUAAAGAAGGGGAAAAGACUGCAGAAAUAAUCCAAUGGCAUCAAGUUUCGGUUUACCGAUAUCGAUAGCUGUGACCUCCAAUCAUACAAAAAUUCAAUCAUUUGAGAGAAUGAAAGAAGUUUGCUUGGUUAUGAGGAUUCAAAGACGUGGGUUGAUGCCAAAUGCUACAUGCCUUGAAAGUUGACGUCCAGCCGCUCCCACCUCCAUCGCUCCCACCUCCAUCGCUUCCAUAGCAUUGAUUGAAAUCAUCUUGGAUGGGCUUGGUGGUUGUUGAGCUGAUGAAAAAGGUAAUGGGCCAACUUGACUAGAAUUGAGGGUCGGCCUAUGAUCGUAGCCCGAUAUAGAAGUUUCGCACAUUUCAGAUGUGGUAAAGUCAAGUGAGACCACAUAAAGAGGCCAAGAGUUUGCCUCUAGGAUCAUCUUACUUAGGAAGCAUCCCAUUUAUAUUGGAGUUCAGUUCUAUCCCAUUUUUAGGAUUUACAAAGUUCCAUUCUCGAACCUUACAAUUUAC